GCCUUCGUGGUGUAGUGGCAGCACACUCGGUUCGUAUUCGAGAGGUUCGUGGUUCGAGUCCUGGCGAAGCUG
This 72-nucleotide transfer RNA is filed under the name Stegodyphus mimosarum. It matches the Rfam family "tRNA". Rfam says of the family: Transfer RNA (tRNA) molecules are approximately 80 nucleotides in length. Lineage: Eukaryota; Metazoa; Arthropoda; Arachnida; Araneae; Eresidae. The record is from Rfam by way of RNAcentral.